GCCGGAGUGAUGGAAUUGGUAGACAUAGCGGACUUAAAAUCCGCUGGGACUUCAAUCCCGUGCCGGUUCGAGUCCGGCCUCCGGCA
Molecule: transfer RNA, 86 nt
Filed under: bacterium
Lineage: Bacteria
Also listed under: 3 other names
Description: tRNA-Leu
Rfam family: tRNA
About the family: Transfer RNA (tRNA) molecules are approximately 80 nucleotides in length. Their secondary structure includes four short double-helical elements and three loops (D, anti-codon, and T loops). Further hydrogen bonds mediate the characteristic L-shaped molecular structure. tRNAs have two regions of fundamental functional importance: the anti-codon, which is responsible for specific mRNA codon recognition, and the 3' end, to which the tRNAs corresponding amino acid is attached (by aminoacyl-tRNA synthetases). tRNAs cope with the degeneracy of the genetic code in two manners: having more than one tRNA (with a specific anti-codon) for a particular amino acid; and 'wobble' base-pairing, i.e. permitting non-standard base-pairing at the 3rd anti-codon position.
Source: RNAcentral